ACCAACCAUUUAAUUCCAAGAGCUACCUGCCAGCCCAACAAACAACCACAGCAUCCAGAAUAAUUCUCUACCUGGGGUCAGACACUGGCAAUCAAAAGUAUCAAACAUUAUUGGAAAGAUAAGGAAUAACAUACUCGUAACUGCUCCACUAUGGGGCUGCUGAGGUCCAUCCUGUGGUUGGAUAGAACCCUAUGAACAAAGAACUUGCAGCAGAAAUGCUUGGAUGAUGCAGAACAGAAUCCAACCCAUGAAAUUCUCUAACCAAAAACCAGGAUCCUAUGUCAAGACCCCUGAAUAACUUCUCCAACUAGGCCUGGGAGUGCUCAAGGCAGGAAGGAGGAGGUGCAAUCAAUCCUCAGAGGAGCUGCCUUUGGAACUCUUUGUGCUCUGGGUUCCCACAAGUGGACUAUGACAGCCCUGGUUGCUCCUUUCUUCUUGUUGUGAAGGCCACUCACUCUCCCCUGCGUUUCCCUCUUCCUCUGAAGCUGCUGUCUGCAAGCAUCUCCCAAGCCCUCUCCAGCAGCAUGUUAACAGAAUUCUACAUAUUUUGGGUAACACCCCUGUAUCGCAUCUGUGUUUUGCAAAGAUUUUCUCCCAGUCUGUGGCUUGU
This is a long non-coding RNA of Hyaena hyaena (striped hyena), 610 nucleotides long. RefSeq lists it as uncharacterized. NCBI's taxonomy places the organism in Eukaryota, Metazoa, Chordata, Mammalia, Carnivora, Hyaenidae. The transcript is spliced from 3 exons. The record is from RefSeq and is a predicted model, not a curated record.